Molecule: ribosomal RNA, 406 nt
Filed under: uncultured bacterium
Lineage: Bacteria
Description: partial 16S ribosomal RNA
Rfam family: Bacterial small subunit ribosomal RNA
Source: RNAcentral
AUUGAACGCUGGCGGCAGGCCUAACACAUGCAAGUCGAACGAGUGGCGGACGGGUGAGUAAUGGCUGGGAAACUGCCCGAUGGAGGGGGAUAACUACUGGAAACGGUCGCCAAUACCGCAUACCCUCAGUUGAGCCCAGAUGGGAGUAGCUGGUUGGUGGGGUAACGGCUCACAAGGGCGACGAUCCCUGGCUGGUCUGAGAGGAUGACGCGCCACACUGGAACUGGGACACGGUCCAGCCGCCUACGGGAGGCGGCAGUGGGAAAUCUUGGACAAGGGGGGAAGGCCUGAUGCGGCAAGGCCGCGGGUUGAGGGAGGGCCUUCGGGUUGUAAGGUACUUUCAGCGGGGAGGCGUUACCCGCAGAGGAAGGACCGGCUAACUCCGUGCCAGCAGCCGCGGUAAUUC